GAUGAGUCCGCGUCCCAUUAGCUAGUUGGUAGGGUAAGAGCCUACCAAGGCAGUGAUGGGUAGCUGGUCUGAGAGGAUGAUCAGCCACACUGGGACUGAGACACGGCCCAGACUCCCACGGGAGGCAGCAGUGAGGAAUUUUGCGCAAUGGGGGGAACCCUGACGCAGCAACGCCGCGUGAGUGAAGAAGGCCUUUGGGUCGUAAAGCUCUGUCAAGUGGGAAGAAUGAGGUGGGGAUGAAUAAGUCCCAUCAGUGACGGUACCACUGAAGGAAGCACCGGCUAACUCCGUGCCAGCAGCCGCGGUAAUACGGAGGGUGCAAGCGUUAUUCGGAAUUAUUGGGCGUAAAGGGCGCGUAGGCGGUUUGUUAAGUCAGUUGUGAAAGAUCGGGGCUCAACCCCGGGUGUGCAAUUGAAACUGGCAGACUUGAGUAUGGUAGAGGAAAGCAGAAUUCCUGGUGUAGCGGUGAAAUGCGUAGAUAUCAGGAGGAAUACCGGUGGCGAAGGCGGCUUUCUGGACCAAAACUGACGCUGAUGCGCGAAGGCGUGGGUAGCAAACAGGAUUAGAUACCCUGGUAGUCCACGCAGUAAACGGUGAUCACUAGGUGUUGCGGGUAUUGACCCCUGCAGUGCCGUAGCUAACGCAUUAAGUGAUCCGCCUGGGG
This 664-nucleotide ribosomal RNA is filed under the name uncultured bacterium. RNAcentral describes it as "bacterial SSU rRNA". It matches the Rfam family "Bacterial small subunit ribosomal RNA", at positions 224 to 878 of the family's 1533-position model. The record is from RNAcentral.